AAACAUGAUGUUCAGAAAAAAAUGAUUAGGGGUUGAUCUGGUUGUGGCAAAUAAAGGGGUGAUGAUUGUACCUUUAGGUGUUGAAUAGAAAGUAUAUACAAAAGCACAUGGAAAAGGAAGAUAGCCAAAAAGCAGAAAGAAAAAGUGAGGGAACAACUACAUGACAAGUCCACACCUAUCAACACUACAAAUACUUUUCCGAUUCGUCUUAUCAAGCAUACAAA
Molecule: long non-coding RNA, 224 nt
Filed under: Vigna radiata
Lineage: Eukaryota; Viridiplantae; Streptophyta; Magnoliopsida; Fabales; Fabaceae
Description: long non-coding RNA (VRAD_LNC010959)
Source: RNAcentral